CGUAGGUGGCAAGCGUUGUCCGGAUUUAUUGGGUUUAAAGGGUGCGUAGGCGGUUCCAUAAGUCAGUGGUGAAAUACAAUAGCUUAACUAUUGAGGUGCCAUUGAUACUGCGGAACUUGAGUACAGACGAGGUAGGCGGAAUUGACGGUGUAGCGGUGAAAUGCUUAGAUAUCGUCAAGAACACCGAUAGCGAAGGCAGCUUACUAGACUGUAACUGACGCUGAGGCACGAAAGUGUGGGGGAUCAAACAGGAUUAGAUACCCUGGUAGUCCACACUGUAAACGAUGAUUACUCGAUGUUGGCGAUACACAGCCAGCGUCUUAGCAAAAGCGAUAAGUAAUCCACCUGGGAGUACGCCGGCAACGGUG
Molecule: ribosomal RNA, 368 nt
Filed under: uncultured organism
Description: bacterial SSU rRNA
Rfam family: Bacterial small subunit ribosomal RNA
Source: RNAcentral